This 253-nucleotide ribosomal RNA is filed under the name uncultured bacterium. Its description in RNAcentral is "partial 16S ribosomal RNA". It matches the Rfam family "Bacterial small subunit ribosomal RNA", at positions 524 to 776 of the family's 1533-position model. The record is from RNAcentral.
UACGUAGGGUGCAAGCGUUAUCCGGAAUUAUUGGGCGUAAAGAGCUCGUAGGCGGUUUGUCGCGUCUGCUGUGAAAACCCGAGGCUCAACCUCGGGCCUGCAGUGGGUACGGGCAGACUAGAGUGCGGUAGGGGAGAUUGGAAUUCCUGGUGUAGCGGUGGAAUGCGCAGAUAUCAGGAGGAACACCGAUGGCGAAGGCAGAUCUCUGGGCCGUAACUGACGCUGAGGAGCGAAAGCCAGGGGAGCAAACGGG